CCUACGGGUGGCUGCAGUGGGGAAUAUUGGACAAUGGGCGAAAGCCUGAUCCAGCAAUGCCGCGUGUGUGAAGAAGGCCUUCGGGUCGUAAAGCACUUUCAGUGGGGAAGAAAGCCUUGGGGCUAAUACCCUCGAGGAAGGACAUCACCCACAGAAGAAGCACCGGCUAACUCCGUGCCAGCAGCCGCGGUAAUACGGAGGGUGCGAGCGUUAAUCGGAAUUACUGGGCGUAAAGCGCGCGUAGGCGGUCUGAUAAGCCGGUUGGGAAAGCCCCGGGCUCAACCUGGGGACGGCAUCCGGAACUGUCAGGCUAGAGUGCAGAAGAGGAAGGUAGAAUUCCCGGUGUAGCGGUGAAAUGCGUAGAGAUCGGGAGGAAUACCAGUGGCGAAGGCGGCCUUCUGGACUGACACUGACGCUGAGGUGCGAAAGCGUGGGUAGCAAACAGGAUUAGAUACCCGGGUAGUC
This 465-nucleotide ribosomal RNA is filed under the name Vreelandella stevensii. RNAcentral's name for it is "partial 16S ribosomal RNA". It matches the Rfam family "Bacterial small subunit ribosomal RNA", at positions 338 to 795 of the family's 1533-position model. The record is from RNAcentral. Lineage: Bacteria; Pseudomonadati; Pseudomonadota; Gammaproteobacteria; Oceanospirillales; Halomonadaceae.